UCUCGUAUUAAUGUUGUAAGAGCCUUAUUUUUAAAGGCCAUUGGGCCUUAGGAAGGGCAGUCAGACCCAUCAAACCAAGGCACUUGAGCCUUGAGGGACUUAGCCAAAAAUCAGGAAAACAUUUCAGUUCUUCCUUUUCUCUCACUAGAACCUUGCCCUAACUCAAGUGCUCUGACUUCUCUCUAGGUUUCCAGUCAUUUCCACCUAUUGAAUCCUAAUUUGGUGGGGUUUCCUUGUUCCUGGAGUCAAGAGCUACGAAACCAUCCGAUUGGUUUUGUGUUCCAGCGGGUUUUGUACAGUUUCACACGGUGUAGGGGGUACUGUUAAAGCAUCUGUGAACUGUGUUGAGCAACCCACCAGAGGAGAAUGAGGUCUCAGUGGAAAACGCCCUGGAGGAGAACUAAGGCACUGUAGCGGCCUAGAUCUUUAGGAAUUUUCUUAUGCCCUUUUAAAUCUUCUGUAUUUUGAGAUACUAAGAAUUUUCACGUUUUAAUUUCUUCUAAAUUUCCUGGAUUACUGUAAUCCUAAUUUAACUAAUUAAACACUCUUGACUGCUUUCUAUUAUCAUUUAUG
Long non-coding RNA from Vigna radiata var. radiata (mung bean), 573 nucleotides. RefSeq lists it as uncharacterized. The record is from RefSeq and is a predicted model, not a curated record. The transcript is spliced from 3 exons. NCBI's taxonomy places the organism in Eukaryota, Viridiplantae, Streptophyta, Magnoliopsida, Fabales, Fabaceae.